Neofelis nebulosa (Clouded leopard) is the source of this 1271-nucleotide long non-coding RNA. RefSeq lists it as uncharacterized. The transcript has 2 exons. The record is from RefSeq and is a predicted model, not a curated record. NCBI's taxonomy places the organism in Eukaryota, Metazoa, Chordata, Mammalia, Carnivora, Felidae.
UCCAGCAGCUUUCAGGCCAGCAAGGGCUGCUUCUGCUGAUUCCCAGGCAGGCUUUCAUGCAUUUCCCACCCAGAUUUCUAAUUCCACACCUCGGGGCUCCACACACAAAUGAUUUUCCCUCUUUUCUACGAUGGCAGCUCGGAUAUUGGGAGAGGUCUCCGGGCCGCCCGGUGAGUCUCCUUCCGCGCCCCAGCGUGUCUGCGGGCAGGUGACAGCCGUGUGCGGCUCGCCCCUCGGACCUGGCCGGCCCCAACAUCCGGGCACCUUCUGGAGUGUCCUCAUGCCUCAGGAUCUAAGGGUACCCAGAAAGUUGUCACUGGAGCACACGAGAGUGUCCCCCUUGCAGGACGUGGCCUCCAGGGAUGAAACACAAGUUUCCUGAGGGAAAGGAGCCCAGAGACCUGGUGGUCCACAGAUGUGGAGGCUCGGGGGUGGACGGGCCCCCUGUGUCCCUCCCAGUGAACCCAGGGCCCCCUGCACUGUUUCUGAAGGCACGCUCUGCUUCUGCGAGGCUGGCAGCAGGAGGGCUCACCGUACCACGUGUGCACUUGCUGGGGCGUUCGGGAAGCCCGCGUGUCACCGUCCGAAGAGCCACCGGGCGGUUUUCCAAAAGCGGCCGCAGGCUUGUGUGUUCCGAUCUCCCGCCAGCGCGUUUGGGUCCCUGACUGCCGGUUCGAGCCCCGAGGAGCCAGGCGAGGCGUCGCUGGCCGGUGGCCGAGGGCGUCUCUUCUGCUCACUUGACGUUUGUGGCUCCUCCCGGGAAGACCGUCUGUUCAAGACCUUUGUCCGUUUACUGAGUGACCAGCUGUUUUACCGUCCAGUUGCGUUUCUGGUAUUUUUUGAGGCCUUUCCUCCGAGCUGGUCUUCAGUGUAUCUCAGCAGAAAGCGCUUGUCCUCUGUUCCUUCGAGGGAGCGCGCUGGCUCCUGCUGUCAGCGUGGAAAUGAUGACGGCGUAUUUUAAAAAUAUCUUCCCUCUCUCCCUUCUACUCGUUAUCAUCGCCGCGUUUUUAUUUGCUUGUUUCUCUUGGUGUUUACUUUUGUGUCUUUAAAUAUACGUCUGUCUCUGUUACUAGAUUCGCCCGCCCUGAAUGAUGACUUCUGACUCUCCAUCCGUCACAGAACAGAGCAAGUGGGGAGAUCCGUGUGCGCUCCCCCGGCGGUGAGCGGCGGCCGAGGACCCGAUUUGUCUCCCCUGCUUUCCUCCUGUGUAACGCAUAUUCACAAACAACAUAUUUGCUUGAGUUAUUUAUGCAAAGCAGCAUUAGUACAUA